This 45-nucleotide non-coding RNA is filed under the name Paramuricea clavata. It matches the Rfam family "Histone 3' UTR stem-loop". Rfam says of the family: The mRNAs of metazoan histone genes lack a poly-A tail. 3' end processing occurs at a site between a highly conserved stem-loop (modelled by this family) and a purine rich region around 20 nts downstream (the histone downstream element, or HDE). Lineage: Eukaryota; Metazoa; Cnidaria; Anthozoa; Malacalcyonacea; Plexauridae. The record is from RNAcentral.
AAAACGGCUCUUUUAAGAGCCACCAAUUUUACAAAAGAAUUAACG